RNAcentral lists this small RNA (294 nucleotides) under Arabidopsis thaliana (thale cress). RNAcentral's name for it is "ATSL045850". Lineage: Eukaryota; Viridiplantae; Streptophyta; Magnoliopsida; Brassicales; Brassicaceae. The record is from RNAcentral.
UAUAAAUUAAAUUUUACAAGAAAUUUAAACAAAAUAAAAGAUAUUAAUACGGGACGAUAUACUACAAGAGAAAUCUUAGAUAUAUUGCGAGAGAAAUCCUAGAUAUAACAAUCAAAAUUCAAUGAUGAAGUUUGGGUCAAUAUUAAUCUUUUUUGAAGUUUCUAAUUUUAUAAAUAUUUGAAAUUUAUAAUAAAAUGACAAAUUUGUGUUUAAUUUCACGGGACGGGGUUAUAUGGUGUGACAGGUUUGAAUGGAUAAUAACAUGGGAUGAUAUGUUACAGAAAAAACCCUAUA